UGGGGGCAACCCUGAUCCAGCCAUGCCGCGUGAGUGAAGAAGGCCCUCGGGUUGUAAAGCUCUUUUGUCCGGAAAGAAAAGCAUUCGGUGAAUACCCGGAUGUUCUGACGGUACCGGAAGAAUAAGCACCGGCUAACUUCGUGCCAGCAGCCGCGGUAAUACGGAGGGUGCGAGCGUUGUUCGGAAUUACUGGGCGUAAAGCGCGUGCAGGCGGUCUCUUAAGUCUGGUGUGAAAGCCCGGGGCUCACCCCCGGAAGGGCACUGGAGACUGGGAGGCUAGAGUACCGGAGAGGAAGGGAGAAUUCCGGGUGGAGCGGUGAAAUGGGUAGAUAUCAGGAGGAAAACCGGUGGCGAAGGCGGCCUUCUGGACGGCUACUGACGCUGAGACGCGAAGGCGUGGGGAGCAAACA
This 410-nucleotide ribosomal RNA is filed under the name uncultured bacterium. Its description in RNAcentral is "bacterial SSU rRNA". It matches the Rfam family "Bacterial small subunit ribosomal RNA", at positions 372 to 774 of the family's 1533-position model. The record is from RNAcentral.